Molecule: ribosomal RNA, 472 nt
Filed under: uncultured bacterium
Lineage: Bacteria
Description: bacterial SSU rRNA
Rfam family: Bacterial small subunit ribosomal RNA
Source: RNAcentral
CGCUUUCACUCCUACGGGAGGCAGCAGUGGGGAAUAUUGCACAAUGGGGGAAACCCUGAUGCAGCCAUGCCGCGUGUGUGAAGAAGGCCUUCGGGUUGUAAAGCACUUUCAGUAGGGAGGAAGGUAGUGUAGUUAACACCUGCAUUAUUUGACGUUACCUACAGAAGAAGCACCGGCUAACUCCGUGCCAGCAGCCGCGGUAAUACGGAGGGUGCGAGCGUUAAUCGGAAUUACUGGGCGUAAAGCGCAUGCAGGCGGCCUGUUAAGUCAGAUGUGAAAGCCCGGGGCUUAACCUCGGAAUUGCAUUUGAAACUGGCAGGCUAGAGUCUUGUAGAGGGGGUAGAAUUUCAGGUGUAGCGGUGAAAUGCGUAGAGAUCUGAAGGAAUACCAGUGGCGAAGGCGGCCCCCUGGACAAAGACUGACGCUCAGAUGCGAAAGCGUGGGGAGCAAACAGGAUUAGAUACCCUGGUAG